CUUGGAUGAUGUUUCUCUCCUUGAGAGAUUGAAGCUCCAUCUUUCCUUCCUCCUUCUCUCUUGAAGCUAGCAAGGUGGUGAAACCUCUUCCAAGGGGAAAAGAGAUCGCCGAGGAGUAAUCGUGUCCAAAGCCUAGGUGAUUUAUUUUUUAGUGGUCCUAGUGCGAGCCUUUUGAGGUGGCGCGAAAGAUUGGCUAAUCGUUUCGACCAAUGCAGGAGAGGGCGUAGGACCCUGAUUGAACGGUCAUCAAGGAGCCGGAGUCACCAUACGGUGAACUGAUGGGCCAACGUCAACGGCAUGAGUACCUUAACGGCUGUGAACCUAGAAGAGGGCACAUCGAAAGUUUAGAGAGUUUUCUAAACCACUACUUGCUUGGUUACAGGUAGUAGUGUGGUUGCGUGCAAGGCAUUUGCUAGUCUCCUACCUUAUGUGUUCAUAUUUUCAUUCAUGUAUGUUUGUUUUGGUCAUGAACAUGUUAUAUGGGUCAUGGAUUCAUUAGUAUGUUGAAAACUAUGUUCCAUGGUUGUGUGUAUUUGAACACAUCUUAAACUCUCGUGUAUAACUACGGUUUGUUGUUGUUGUUGUUGUUGUUGUUGUUUCCCUAAGUGUCUUUGUAUUCCUCCACCCAGCACUUUGUGUUUAUUAUUGUUGAUUCCAGGUUUGUUUUGUCAGCCUUGUGGUAACCCGAGGGUUGAGUGGUGGGGUAUCCCUCCUCGGGUUUGUCGCAGUGGUUGUUGCGUCCCAUGGGCCAGCGGGUUGGAGCGUGAUAGAU
Dioscorea cayenensis subsp. rotundata (Guinea yam) is the source of this 772-nucleotide long non-coding RNA. RefSeq lists it as uncharacterized. The transcript has 4 exons. The record is from RefSeq and is a predicted model, not a curated record. Lineage: Eukaryota; Viridiplantae; Streptophyta; Magnoliopsida; Dioscoreales; Dioscoreaceae.